GACGAACGCUGGCGGCGUGCUUAACACAUGCAAGUCGAACGGAAAGGCCCUGCUUUUGUGGUGUUCUCGAGUGGCGAACGGGUGAGUAACACGUGAGUAACCUGCCCUUGACUUUGGUAUAACUUCAGGAAACUGGGGCUAAUACCGGAUAGGAGCUCCUGCUGCAUGGUGGGGGUUGGAAAGUUUCGGCGGUUGGGGAUGGACUCGCGGCUUAUCAGCUUGUUGGUGGGGGAGUGGCUUACCAAGGCUUUGACGGGGAGCCGGCCUGAGAGGGUGACCGGCCACAUUGGGACUGAGAUACGGCCCAGACUCCUACGGGGGGCAGCAGUGGGGAAUAUUGAACAUUGGGCGGAAGCCUGAUGAAGAAACGCCGGGUGCGGGAUGACGGCCUUCGGGUUGUAAACCGCUUUCGCCUGUGACGAGGCGUGAGUGACGGUAAUGGGUAAAGAAGCACCGGCUAACUACGUG
Molecule: ribosomal RNA, 468 nt
Filed under: uncultured bacterium
Lineage: Bacteria
Description: partial 16S ribosomal RNA
Rfam family: Bacterial small subunit ribosomal RNA
Source: RNAcentral